UACACAUAGAUAUUAGCACAGACAGGUUGCAGAUAUCCACAUCAGGAGGAUAUAGACAGUAAUUUACAGAAACCAUAUGAGUAUUUAUAUUACAACCAGAAUACUUCAGAUAUUAUUAAAAGGCUUUAUUUUUGUUGCUUAUGUCCUUCCUUUGCAUUAGUCCCACUACCAGUUAGGCCCUGUAACAGGAUGGCUUCAUCGGCUGUUCCAGUUAGUUUAUAACUGGAGA
Molecule: unclassified non-coding RNA, 229 nt
Filed under: Hevea brasiliensis (rubber tree)
Lineage: Eukaryota; Viridiplantae; Streptophyta; Magnoliopsida; Malpighiales; Euphorbiaceae
Source: RNAcentral